Molecule: ribosomal RNA, 609 nt
Filed under: uncultured bacterium
Lineage: Bacteria
Description: bacterial SSU rRNA
Rfam family: Bacterial small subunit ribosomal RNA
Source: RNAcentral
UCUGACGGAGCGACGCCGCGUGGAUGAUGAAGGCCGAAAGGUUGUAAAGUCCUUUUGCUGGGGAAGAAUAAGCGUGGGAGGGAAUGCCCGCGUGAUGACAUGAACCGGCGAAUAAGCCCCGGCUAACUACGUGCCAGCAGCCGCGGUAACACGUAGGGGGCGAGCGUUGUUCGGAAUUACUGGGCGUAAAGGGCAUGUAGGCGGCUUUGUAAGCUUGGCGUGAAAGUCCACGGCUUAACCGUGGGAUUGCGUUGAGAACUGCGAGGCUUGAGUGACGGAGAGGGAGCUAGAAUUCCUGGUGUAGGGGUGGAAUCUGUAGAGAUCAGGAAGAAUACCAAUGGCGAAGGCAAGCUCCUGGCCGAUGACUGACGCUGAGGUGCGAAAGUGUGGGGAUCAAACAGGAUUAGAUACCCUGGUAGUCCACACUGUAAACGAUGUACACUAGGUGCUGGGGCGGAUGCUUCAGUGCCGUAGCUAACGUGAUAAGUGUACCGCCUGGGGAGUAUGCUCGCAAGGGUGAAACUCAAAGGAAUUGACGGGGGCCCGCACAAGCGGUGGAGCAUGUGGUUUAAUUCGAUGGUACGCGAGGAACCUUACCUGGGUUUGACA